UUAAAAUGAUGUUUUUACUCACGAUGGUCUUCAUAACAAAUGUGAUGAAACUGCUUAAUAGCAAUAACUGAUUACUCUGG
Hypanus sabinus (Atlantic stingray) is the source of this 80-nucleotide small nucleolar RNA. RefSeq annotates it as small nucleolar RNA SNORD35. NCBI's taxonomy places the organism in Eukaryota, Metazoa, Chordata, Chondrichthyes, Myliobatiformes, Dasyatidae. The transcript has a single exon. The record is from RefSeq and is a predicted model, not a curated record.